CAGUCGCCGCGGGAAUACGAAGGGGGCUAGCGUUGUUCGGAUUUACUGGGCGUAAAGGGCGCGUAGGCGGGCGAAUAAGUCAGGGGUGAAAUCCCAAGGCUCAACCUUGGAACUGCCUUUGAUACUGUUUGUCUUGAGUCCGGGAGAGGUGAGUGGAACUGCGAGUGUAGAGGUGAAAUUCGUAGAUAUUCGCAAGAACACCAGUGGCGAAGGCGGCUCACUGGCCCGGAACUGACGCUGAGGCGCGAAAGCGUGGGGAGCAAACAGGAUUAGAUACCCCGGUAGUCCCUGUCUCUUAUAC
Molecule: ribosomal RNA, 301 nt
Filed under: uncultured bacterium
Lineage: Bacteria
Description: partial 16S ribosomal RNA
Rfam family: Bacterial small subunit ribosomal RNA
Source: RNAcentral